CACAAGACUCUAUUGUUAAAUCAUUCUUGGCUUAACAAAAGCAAAACAAAAAAUAAUUAAUGCUAUAAUGAUAUAUAGAUUAAACAUACUGCUAUCUUAAUGUAACAUUUUUGAUAAGGCCAGUAAAUAACAUACUUUACCAUUGUUCGUUUCCUUCAGUGGGUUCAUUUAAAUAUUACAAACAAUUUGACAUAAACACAAGCAUUAAACGCAUUUCCAGAAGUAUCUCUUUGCUGUGGAAAGAAACAUGCUUUUGUUUAACACUGGUAAAUUGCUGAAAGGUAGGUUUGGUUAUUGAAAUCCUGUCUGUUUGUUUAUUUGAAAGUAGGAGCUCCCUUCAGGACAAAUGGCACAAAAAUGAUAUUUCAUACUGUUUCCUUUUCACUAGAACCUGUUUGAUGUCUCAAUGUGCCAGAGGCGUGAUACACAUUAUCUGACAUAAUUACUGGAAUUUAUAACCAUGGGCUGACUUGGAAACAAAAGGAUCUUUUAAAACUCGGAUUUAAAAAAAAAAAAAGGUAGUGAAGAGAUUCCCUUACCAGUGAUGUAUUAUUCUGACAAAACCUUGACCUGAAACCCCCCAAAGGUUAAAACCACAGCACCUGUAAAUACGAUCGUUCUUUUCAGCCAAUGUUGCUGUCCUCCCUCAUUCCUGAGCUUGACUCCUGCCUCAGAAGCUAGAAGACAGAAUGACAUGUUGACCAGUACCACCACCAGACAUAGACUAGUGAACGCCAUCAGUAUCCAAAACUGGACCUACCUGACCCAGUAGAAAGAGGGAAGGAGGAAGGAAAAAAAACCUGAAGGGGAAGAAACCUCUGGGAUCACUGUCAAUGAAUCAUACCAUGAAUCCUUGCCAAUCGUAAUACAUUGCAUUCUGAACUUGUGGAAUGAGCAGUUAGUACACAUUAUAUCUGUAAUGCAUUGCUCCUUUGUUUGUGUCCGUGUUAUCUCUGUGAUGCAUGGGGCUAUCUGUAUUGCUGUUUCUUUUGGCUUAAUUUGGCUCUUAUCUCACUCGGCCAUUGAAAGAUUUUCUCUGCUUUUUCUGGAGAAAAAACUACUAGAGACCUGUGCUUUACAUCCUUUUGAUGUUAUCGGACAGGGUGUGACAUCGGACUGGAAAGGGAAAAUUGUAAUGUCGUACCUGGUCCGACAUAGGCCCACAAAAGGUUAAAAUUGGGGUGUGUUUUCAAUUCUUUAAUGAACUUAAUUCCACAUUGAUUUUACAACAUUGAGCAACAAAGAA
Long non-coding RNA from Polyodon spathula (Mississippi paddlefish), 1246 nucleotides. RefSeq lists it as uncharacterized. The transcript has 3 exons. NCBI's taxonomy places the organism in Eukaryota, Metazoa, Chordata, Actinopteri, Acipenseriformes, Polyodontidae. The record is from RefSeq and is a predicted model, not a curated record.